CCCUUAGAUGUUCUGGGCCGCACACGCGCUACACUGAAGGAGGCAGCGUGUACUCCUGGAUCGAAAGAUUUGGGUAACCCGCGAAUCUCCUUCGUGCUAGGGAUUGAGGUUUGCAAUUAUCCUUCAUGAACGAGGAAUUCCCAGUAAGUGCAAGUCAUAAGCUUGCGCUGACUACGUCCCUGCCCUUUGUACACACCGCCCGUCGCUACUACCGAUUGAAUGAUUUAGUGAGGACUUCGGACUGGGACCGAUUCGGCUUUCGGGCUGCGUCGGUAUUCUGGAAAGAUGUCCAAACUGUAUCAUUUAGAGGAAGUAAAAGUCGUAACA
This 327-nucleotide ribosomal RNA is filed under the name uncultured eukaryote. RNAcentral describes it as "partial 18S ribosomal RNA". It matches the Rfam family "Eukaryotic small subunit ribosomal RNA", at positions 1470 to 1796 of the family's 1831-position model. The record is from RNAcentral.